CCUACGGGGGCUGCAGUGGGGAAUAUUGGACAAUGGGCGAAAGCCUGAUCCAGCCAUGCCGCGUGUGUGAAGAAGGCCUUCGGGUUGUAAAGCACUUUCAGUGGGGAAGAAAGCCUUGGGGCUAAUACCCUCGAGGAAGGACAUCACCCACAGAAGAAGCACCGGCUAACUCCGUGCCAGCAGCCGCGGUAAUACGGAGGGUGCGAGCGUUAAUCGGAAUCACUGGGCGUAAAGCGCGCGUAGGCGGUCUGAUAAGCCGGUUGUGAAAGCCCCGGGCUCAACCUGGGAACGGCAUCCGGAACUGUCAGGCUAGAGUGCAGGAGAGGAAGGUAGAAUUCCCGGUGUAGCGGUGAAAUGCGUAGAGAUCGGGAGGAAUACCAGUGGCGAAGGCGGCCUUCUGGACUGACACUGACGCUGAGGUGCGAAAGCGUGGGUAGCAAACAGGAUUAGAUACCCGGGUAGUC
This 464-nucleotide ribosomal RNA is filed under the name Vreelandella stevensii. RNAcentral's name for it is "partial 16S ribosomal RNA". It matches the Rfam family "Bacterial small subunit ribosomal RNA", at positions 338 to 795 of the family's 1533-position model. The record is from RNAcentral. Lineage: Bacteria; Pseudomonadati; Pseudomonadota; Gammaproteobacteria; Oceanospirillales; Halomonadaceae.